RNAcentral lists this transfer RNA (73 nucleotides) under Arthrobacter sp. RNAcentral describes it as "tRNA-Gln". It matches the Rfam family "tRNA". Rfam says of the family: Transfer RNA (tRNA) molecules are approximately 80 nucleotides in length. Their secondary structure includes four short double-helical elements and three loops (D, anti-codon, and T loops). Lineage: Bacteria; Bacillati; Actinomycetota; Actinomycetes; Micrococcales; Micrococcaceae. The record is from RNAcentral.
UCCGCCCUGGUGUAAUGGCAGCACCCCGGCCUUUGGAGCCGUGGAGUAUAGGUUCGGAAUCCUAUGGGCGGAA